UCUCUCACUCCCAAAACCGACGGCCUCUCUCUCUCUCUCUCUCUCUCUCUCUCUCUCUCUCUCUCUCUCUCCCCGCCCCCCAUUCCAUCCUCCCAAAACCGACAACCUAUAUCUCACUUUAAAUGCUAGAGGAGAGAGCUCCCCUUUGGAAUUGCAGGAUCCGACCCAGCAGCAUCCAAAACUGCCUGCAGGUUGGCUGGAACACAGCUUUGAGAAGAUCCAACUAGUAGGGGAUUCCAAUUGGAUUUGUGCUUUAAAAUUUUUAUUAUUAUUUAUCAUUAGUAUUUUUCUUCAAUAUUCUAUUGUCUAGUUUAGCGUCAAUGUUUUGUCUGCCUUCUUCUUUUCCUAAAUUUAUAACUGGAUAUUGUGAUACGUUGGCAUUAAGGCUUUAGAUGACGACGACAAUGAAGGACUGGAUUUUGUGACUACUUGAGAAUCUACUUUUAGAGAUUGUUGAAUGAUGAUGCUGUCACAAGAUAGAAUUAGGAGGGGGCUUAGAUCUUGGAAGGUUGGAAAGGCAUAUGUAUUAUCAUACAUCAUUAGGAAGGGUUGAGAAGUUUCUAGCGAUUUUAGAGGAUAAUGCUGGUUGAUGCUUCAGUUGUUUUAGUAUUUCCAAAACAGCUAGAAGAGAUAGAGUGCAUCCUAGAGACAUUUGUAUCAGACUGAAUUGAUGGUAGGAUUGAAUGUCAUUAAAACAUCUCAAUAGGCCCUGCAUGUCAAUUUGUAUGUUCAGCUUAUCCUAGAGACAUUUGUAUCAGACUAUGAAUUGAAUUGGCUCUAAUGAUCCUAGCUUUCUUUCACUGUUUGGAUUUUUAGAAUUUAAUGCUAGAUGGCAUGUAUUUUAGAUUUGAUGGGUUCCAUAUUAAUGAAGAUUAUAGAUGCAAAAACUGGAAAGGAGGAACAUGUUACAAUUUCUGUUGAUGAUGGAAUUCGACCGAACACAUCAUUGUCUGAUUUAGCAAGGCUCAAACAUGCAUUUAAGGAGGGUGGAUUUCAACAGGUUGUUGAGGUCCAUGAUUUCAACAGUCUGAUUCAAGUAACCAUUUAAGGAGGGUGCAAAAAUUACCAUCACUGAACCCAGACCUGGAGCAACAGAGACUGUGAUUAUAAUAUUUGGAACACCUGAGCAGACAUGCUGCACAGAGUCUUCUUCAAGCAUUUGUACUGAGUGAACAGGGCACUCCUUGACUUGUUGCAUUGGACUGGUCUUUGUGACAGUGCUAGCAGGUUGGAUGGAAAAUAAACAUUACUUCCCAAGAUGUUCUUAAUGAUGCUUAUUCAAAGUGGAAGUAACUAUAUAGAGUGUAGGCUCAGGGGUCCACAAUGCUUACAUGGAUGCAUGAUCAAAGCUGCUCAUUAGGUACAAGCCACUAUAUGGCUUUCCUUGUGCUGAAUUCAGGUCCAUCCACAUUGAGUUGCAUGCUAGUUAAUGCUUCUAUAAAAAUACUC
Molecule: long non-coding RNA, 1449 nt
Organism: Magnolia sinica
Lineage: Eukaryota; Viridiplantae; Streptophyta; Magnoliopsida; Magnoliales; Magnoliaceae
Exons: 5
Source: RefSeq, a predicted model, not a curated record